GGCUAUAUCGUUAUGAUGGCAGUAUUGUUAUAC
This 33-nucleotide small RNA is filed under the name Staphylococcus aureus. Its description in RNAcentral is "HMPRFS0000_2642". The record is from RNAcentral. Lineage: Bacteria; Bacillati; Bacillota; Bacilli; Caryophanales; Staphylococcaceae.